RNAcentral lists this ribosomal RNA (1411 nucleotides) under uncultured bacterium. RNAcentral describes it as "partial 16S ribosomal RNA". It matches the Rfam family "Bacterial small subunit ribosomal RNA". The record is from RNAcentral.
AACGAACGCUCGGCGGCAGGCUUAACACAUGCAAGUCGAGCGCCCCGCAAGGGGAGCGGCAGACGGGUGAGUAACGCGUGGGAAUCUACCCAUCUCUACGGAACAACUCCGGGAAACUGGAGCUAAUACCGUAUACGUCCUUAUGGAGAAAGAUUUAUCGGAGAUGGAUGAGCCCGCGUUGGAUUAGCUAGUUGGUGGGGUAAUGGCCUACCAAGGCGACGAUCCAUAGCUGGUCUGAGAUGAUGAUCAGCCACACUGGGACUGAGACACGGCCCAGACUCCUACGGGAGGCAGCAGUGGGGAAUAUUGGACAAUGGGCGCAAGCCUGAUCCAGCCAUGCCGCGUGAGUGAUGAAGGCCCUAGGGUUGUAAAGCUCUUUCAACGGUGAAGAUAAUGACGGUAACCGUAGAAGAAGCCCCGGCUAACUUCGUGCCAGCAGCCGCGGUAAUACGAAGGGGGCUAGCGUUGUUCGGAAUUACUGGGCAUAAAGCGCACGUAGGCGGAUACUUAAGUCAGGGGUGAAAUCCCGGGGCUCAACCCCGGAACUGCCUUUGAUACUGGGUAUCUGGAGUCCGGAAGAGGUGAGUGGAAUUCCGAGUGUAGAGGUGAAAUUCGUAGAUAUUCGGAGGAACUCCCGGUGCGGAAGGCGGCUUACUGCCUCAAAACAGCCGAUGACGAUAAAAAAGUUUAGGAACAAACACGUUUAGAUUUUCUGGUAGUCCCCCCCGUAACCGAAGUAUGCCAGGCGUCGGGUAGCAUCAUUCUCGAUGUAACCACUCCUGGAUUAAGCAUUCCGCCUGGGGAGUACGGUCGCAAGAUUAAAACUCCAAGGAAUUGACGGGGGCACGCACUAGCGGUAGAGCAUGUGGUUUAAUUCGAAGCACCGUGCAGAACCUUGACAAAGCUUGACAUCAUGAUAGCGGAUCGUAGAGAUUCUUUCCUUCAAUUCGGCUGGAUCAUUUACAGUCGCUCCAUGGCUGUCGACACAACAUCUCGUGAGAUGUUCGGUUCAGUCCGGCACAGAGCGCAACCCACAUCGUUAAUAUUCCAGCGGUUUGGCCGGGGUCUCUAUGGAAACUGCGCGUGAUAAGCGGGAGGAAGGUGUGGACGAUGUCAAGUCCUCAUCGUCCUUACGGGUUGGGCUCCACACGUGCUCCAAUGGCAGUGACAAUGGGUUAAUAUCAAAAAACUGUCUCAGUUCGGAAGGGGGUAUGCAACUCGGAAACAUGAAGUCAGAAUCGCUAGUAUUCGCGUAACACCAUGCCGCGGAGAAUAUGUUCCCGGUCAUCGUACACACUACCCGUCUCUCCACAGGAGUUGGGUCUCUCCGCACGCGCGCCGACAUCCUCUCGAGGAGGCAGCGGCACACGGUAAGCUCACCGCCUGGGGUGAAUUCGUAACAAGGUAGCCG